Molecule: ribosomal RNA, 253 nt
Filed under: uncultured bacterium
Lineage: Bacteria
Description: partial 16S ribosomal RNA
Rfam family: Bacterial small subunit ribosomal RNA
Source: RNAcentral
UACGAAGGGGGCUAGCGUUGUUCGGAAUUACUGGGCGUAAAGCGCACGUAGGCGGAUUGUUAAGUCAGAGGUGAAAUCCCGGAGCUCAACUUCGGAACUGCCUUUGAUACUGGCAAUCUAGAGUCCGGAAGAGGUUAGUGGAAUUCCCAGUGUAGAGGUGAAAUUCGUAGAGAUCGGGAGGAACACCAGUGGCGAAGGCGCCUAUCUGGCUGACAACUGACGCUGAGACUCGAAAGCAUGGGGAGCAAACAGG